Molecule: ribosomal RNA, 389 nt
Filed under: Encephalitozoon hellem
Lineage: Eukaryota; Fungi; Microsporidia; Unikaryonidae
Description: bacterial SSU rRNA
Rfam family: Microsporidia small subunit ribosomal RNA
Source: RNAcentral
AGUAGAGUGUAUGGUGAAUGAUGCAGUUAAAAUGUCCGUAGUUGUUUGUAUGUCUUUUGAGUGAUGUUUAUGGUUUUUGUGGAUGUAGUUUUAUUGUAGCAGANGACGAGGGGCACUGGAUAGUUGGGCGAGGGGUGAAAUACGAAGACCCUGACUGGACGAAGAGAAGCGAAGGCUGUGUUCUUGGACUUUUGUGGUGAUGAAGGACGAAGGCUAGAGGAUCGAAAUCGAUUAGAUACCGUUUUAGUUCUAGCAGUAAACGAUGCCGACUGGACAGGGACUGUUUUAGUGUUGUCCGAGAGAAAUCUUAAGUAUGUNGGUUCUGGGGAUAGUAUGCUCGCAAGAGUGAAACUUGAAGAGAUUACGGAAGGACACCACAAGGAGUGAGU